UCGGUCAUUCUCGGCAGAUCAGGUCGGAAGAUCUCUUACGCCGUUUGUCGCUUCGCCUGCCUUGCGCAGGGAGCCGUGCGGGUGUGCUCGCGAUACUGGCACACUUGAUACUGGGUGGCAGAAAGGAAUUCCUGGUGUAGCGGUGAAAUGCGCAGAUAUCAGGAGGAACACCGGUGGCGAAGGCGGGUCUCUGGGCAGUAACUGACGCUGAGGAGCGAAAGCGUGGGUAGCGAACAGGAUUAGAUACCCUGGUAGUCCACGCCGUAAACGGUGGGCGCUAGGUGUGGGUUUCCUUCCACGGGAUCCGUGCCGUAGCUAACGCAUUAAGCGCCCCGCCUGGGGAGUACGGCCGCAAGGCUAAAACUCAAAGGAAUUGACGGGGGCCCGCACAAGCGGCGGAGCAUGUGGAUUAAUUCGAUGCAACGCGAAGAACCUUACCUGGGUUUGACAUAUACCGGAAAGCCGUAGAGAUACGGCCCCCCUUGUGGUCGGUAUACAGGUGGUGCAUGGCUGUCGUCAGCUCGUGUCGUGAGAUGUUGGGUUAAGUCCCGCAACGAGCGCAACCCUUGUCCUGUGUUGCCAGCGCGUAAUGGCGGGGACUCGCAGGAGACUGCCGGGGUCAACUCGGAGGAAGGUGGGGAUGACGUCAAGUCAUCAUGCCCCUUAUGUCCAGGGCUUCACACAUGCUACAAUGGCCGGUACAGAGGGCUGGCGAUACCGUGGAGGUGGAGCGAAUCCCUUAAAGCCGGUCUCAGUUCGGAUCGGGGUCUGCAACUCGACCCCGUGAAGUCGGAGUCGCUAGUAAUCGCAGAUCAGCAACGCUGCGGUGAAUACCGUUCCC
RNAcentral lists this ribosomal RNA (841 nucleotides) under bacterium. RNAcentral describes it as "bacterial SSU rRNA". It matches the Rfam family "Bacterial small subunit ribosomal RNA", at positions 534 to 1375 of the family's 1533-position model. The record is from RNAcentral.